UACGUAGGUCCCAAGCGUUAUCCGGAAUUACUGGGCGUAAAGAGUCUGUAGUCGGUCCUGAUAGUCUACUUUCAAAUACCUCGGCUCAACCGAGGAGAGGGAGUGGAUACUGCAGGUCUGGAAGUUUUCAGAGGUGAGUAGAAUUUCCGGUGGAGAGGUGAAAUUCGUUGAUAUCGGAAGGAAUGCCAAAAGCGAAAGCAGCUCACUAUGAAUAUCUUGACGAUGAGAGACGAAAGUCUGGGUAGCAAACGGG
Molecule: unclassified non-coding RNA, 253 nt
Filed under: uncultured Candidatus Altimarinota bacterium
Lineage: Bacteria; Candidatus Altimarinota
Description: uncultured Candidatus Gracilibacteria bacterium contains 16S-23S intergenic spacer region
Rfam family: Bacterial small subunit ribosomal RNA
Source: RNAcentral